This 670-nucleotide ribosomal RNA is filed under the name uncultured bacterium. RNAcentral describes it as "bacterial SSU rRNA". It matches the Rfam family "Bacterial small subunit ribosomal RNA", at positions 61 to 727 of the family's 1533-position model. The record is from RNAcentral.
GUCGAACGGAUAUCUUCGGAUAUGAGUGGCGAACGGGUGAGUAACACGUACGGUACCUGCCUGCAUGAGCGGGAGAACUUCUGGAAACGGAAGCUGAUACCGGAUGAGCAAAGAGGAGGCAUCUUCUUUUUGGAAAAGGGGACAAGAGUCCCGCAUGCAGAUGGACCUGCGGUGCAUUAGCUGGUUGGAGAGGUAACGGCUCACCAAGGCGACGAUGCAUAGCCGGCCUGAGAGGGCGGACGGCCACACUGGGACUGAGACACGGCCCAGACUCCUGCGGGAGGCAGCAGUAGGGAAUUUUCGUCAAUGGGGGGAACCCUGAACGAGCAAUGCCGCGUGAGCGAGGAAGGUCUUCGGAUCGUAAAGCUCUGUUGCCGGGGACAAAAGGCAGAAAGAGUGGAAAGCUUUCUGAGUGAUGGUACCCGGCGAGGAAGUCACGGCUAACUACGUGCCAGCAGCCGCGGUAAUACGUAGGUGGCGAGCGUUAUCCGGAAUGAUUGGGCGUAAAGGGUGCGCAGGCGGCCGGGCAAGUCCGCAGUAAAAACUGGAGGCUCAACCUUCAGGGGCUGCGGAAACUGUCCGGCUGGAGAGCAGGAGAGGACGGUGGAACUCCAUGUGUAGCGGUAAAAUGCGUAGAUAUUUGGAAGAACACCGGUGGCGAAGGCGGCCG